Molecule: ribosomal RNA, 392 nt
Filed under: Hyalinobatrachium taylori (Taylor's glass frog)
Lineage: Eukaryota; Metazoa; Chordata; Amphibia; Anura; Centrolenidae
Description: partial 16S ribosomal RNA
Rfam family: Bacterial large subunit ribosomal RNA
Source: RNAcentral
AAGAGGUCCAGCCUGCCCAGUGACCAUGUUCAACGGCCGCGGUAUCCUAACCGUGCGAAGGUAGCGUAAUCACUUGUUCUUUAAAUAAGGAAUAGUAUGAACGGCAUCACGAAGGUUACACUGUCUCCUCUUUCUAAUCAGUGAAACUAAUCUCCUCGUGAAGAAACGAGGAUAAACAUAUAAGACGAGAAGACCCUAUGGAGCUUCAAACUAUAAAGCACCUGCCCCAGUAUUACUUAAUUCCAGAAAACCACACCUACCCAGGCAAGAUGACCUUUAGUUUUAGGUUGGGGUGACCGCGGAGCAAAAAAAAACCUCCACAUUGAAAGGAGCCAACUCCUUAGCCAAGAGCCACACCUCUAAGCACCAACAAAAAGACAUCAAUUGACCCA